UUACCAAACUCAUCAUUAGACGCCUCUGGUGUUACCCAUGAAAACGACCGAGAUAGGAGGAUACAGAGAAACUCUCGUAGCCGAGCAUGUUAUCAGAAGAAAAACAAGGAAUUGACGGUUGAUGAUAGAGAAGAUCUGAAUGAAAAGAUCCGAGGGAAGCGCGUAGAACGCUGCAAAAGCAUGUCCAUGAUUGAGAAAGGGCAGUCAAGUGCUCAAAGGAAGGCCAGUUAUGCUAAACGAAAAAACACCCCGUGCAAAGAAUCCAUCACACUCCCACGUCCAGACAUAACAAACUCAACAUCCGAUAGUCUAGCAAUACCCCUCUCUCUGCCUGCCGAAGAUGAUUCAUCAGAUGGCGACCCUCCCCCGGUCAUGCCGAAUUACGGUGUUUGCACCAAUGACGACAUCGAUGUGUUCCUAGAACCCAUCAUGGGCGAUGAGCCAACACCAGCCAAAUUGAUGGAUGAGGAGUACUACAUGUAUCGCAACCAAGGAUCCGAUAAUGACACAUUCGAGGAUGACGAGGAAGCGAGCAUGUCAUCUACUAGGCCUAGCGAGGUUGAUCCAUUAGACUAUGUGUACACAAACAUACCAGACAGCACUCACAUCCUCAAGCUCGACGCAAACUGCAAACACUGCAAUGCCAGAAAGUUUGUGUCUGAGACAGAUAGAUUCUGCUGUCGCAAUGGACAGAUCGAGCUUAAACAACCGGAACCAAUCCCAGAGCUUAUGAGGCUAUGGCCUAGCCUA
RNAcentral lists this ribosomal RNA (750 nucleotides) under Triticum aestivum (bread wheat). RNAcentral describes it as "partial small subunit ribosomal RNA". Lineage: Eukaryota; Viridiplantae; Streptophyta; Magnoliopsida; Poales; Poaceae. The record is from RNAcentral.